GACUCCAUCUAAAAAAAAAAAAAGAAAGAAAAGAAAAGAAAAGAAAAAAAGAAAAAGAAACAAAAAAGUGUGCUCCCAAUCCAGAAAACCUCUCCACAAAGGUAGAAGAGAAAAGUUUUGUUGUUGAAUAGCCAUUAAGCCAGAAGGUGAUAUGCAUCAGAAGCAACAGCGAAGAGAUUGCAAAGAAAGAUCUCAUCCUUUUAAAGACCCAAACAGAUACAACGCACUGCAUGAGUGUUUUCAACAUAAACAAUAACUACUCCUUAAGGAAGAGGCCCUGACAGUGCCAUUUGUCACACACCAUUGACCCCAGAGCCACCUGGUCAUUGGGGUUACCAUGUGUUUGUUAAUUGCCUGUAUCCAGAGGAAGAAUAAACUCCUAUCUUCAUGACAGGAGGUAGUUUUGCAGCUUGGAGCAAGACGGACUAAGUUAGGCUCUUGGCGUCCCUCGGAAACCAGAGAGGCCAGGAGACAGUUUAGGAGACCGAGCUGGGCAGCUCGCCUGAGGUCAGGAGUUCAAGACCAGCCUGGCCAACAUGGAGAAACCCUGCCUCUACUGAAAAUACAAAAAAAUUAGCCAGGCACAGUGGCACACAUCUGUAAUCCCAGCUACUCGGGAGGCUGAGGCAGGAGAAUCGCUUGAAUCCAGGAGGUGGAGGUUGUGGUGAACCGAGAUUGCGCCACUGCACUCCAGCCUGGGUGACAGAGCGAGACUCCAUCUCAAAAAGAAAAAAGAGUCAUGCUCAGAGAAAAAGGAGAGAAAAAUCUCUUCCCUUCUUUUCAAUCAGGAGAAUUAAGCCUCUGUUUUUAAUUUGUCUCUGUCCUUGAAGGGCAUGGGGUGGUCUCAAGGGCACAGGGCACUUACCAGACAAGGUUGGCCUCGGUACCUGCCAGGGCCUCUUCCAACUCUGAGAUCAUUAGCAUCAAGGAUAAGCUUUGGAGCUUAUUGAUAGCAGCUUAAGUACCACGAUCAGGAACGCUGUCAGUGCUAACAAGUAACAUCAGGACAAAGAAUUCACAUUUCACAUAAAGGACAGAAUGCAAGUCAGAAACAAAAAUCCACCCAUGUCUUGGUCCUGGGACCUGGCUGCGGAGGGCGGUGUGGUCUGGAGAACAGAGUGCCAGCCAGGCCUGGUGCCCCGACUUCUAGACAGGACUCUGGCCUGUCUGUAAGAGUUGGUGCAGGCUGAACACAGCGGCUCACACCUGUAAUCCCAACACUUUGGGAGGGGAGGCUGAGGUGGCCAGAUCAUGAGGUCAGGAGAUUGAGGCCCUCCUGGCCAACAUGGUGAAACCCCAUCUCUACCAAAAAUACAAAAAUUAGCUGGGCAUGGUGGCGCAUGCCUGUCAUCCCAGCUACUCGGGAGGCUGAGGCAGGAGAAUCACUUGAACCAGUGAGUUGGAGGUUGCAGUGAGCUGAGAUCGUGCCUCUGUACUCCAGUCAGUGUGACAGAGCAAGAUUCCGUCUCAAAAAAAAAAAAA
This 1482-nucleotide long non-coding RNA is filed under the name Macaca fascicularis (crab-eating macaque). RNAcentral's name for it is "lncRNA (ENSMFAG00000063705.1)". Lineage: Eukaryota; Metazoa; Chordata; Mammalia; Primates; Cercopithecidae. The record is from RNAcentral.